GACGAACGCUGGCGGCGUGCCUAAUACAUGCAAGUAGAACGCUGAAGGAGGAGCUUGCUUCUCUGGAUGAGUUGCGAACGGGUGAGUAACGCGUAGGUAACCUGCCUGGUAGCGGGGGAUAACUAUUGGAAACGAUAGCUAAUACCGCAUAAGAGUAGAUGUCGCAUGACAUUUGCUUAAAAGGUGCAAUUGCAUCACUACCAGAUGGACCUGCGUUGUAUUAGCUAGUUGGUGAGGUAACGGCUCACCAAGGCGACGAUACAUAGCCGACCUGAGAGGGUGAUCGGCCACACUGGGACUGAGACACGGCCCAGACUCCUACGGGAGGCAGCAGUAGGGAAUCUUCGGCAAUGGACGGAAGUCUGACCGAGCAACGCCGCGUGAGUGAAGAAGGUUUUCGGAUCGUAAAGCUCUGUUGUAAGAGAAGAACGAGUGUGAGA
Molecule: ribosomal RNA, 440 nt
Filed under: Streptococcus mitis
Lineage: Bacteria; Bacillati; Bacillota; Bacilli; Lactobacillales; Streptococcaceae
Description: bacterial SSU rRNA
Rfam family: Bacterial small subunit ribosomal RNA
Source: RNAcentral